GACGUGGCCAAGUGGAUUAAGGCAGU
Molecule: transfer RNA, 26 nt
Filed under: Syntrichia ruralis
Lineage: Eukaryota; Viridiplantae; Streptophyta; Bryopsida; Pottiales; Pottiaceae
Also listed under: 103 other names
Description: partial tRNA-His
Source: RNAcentral